RNAcentral lists this long non-coding RNA (1745 nucleotides) under Nicotiana tabacum (common tobacco). Its description in RNAcentral is "long non-coding RNA (NTAB_LNC019141)". Lineage: Eukaryota; Viridiplantae; Streptophyta; Magnoliopsida; Solanales; Solanaceae. The record is from RNAcentral.
UUAAACAUAAGUAAUACGCCAAAUAUUCAUUCAUUCUAGUAAACCACAUCGAGUAUAUCCUAUGAGCUGAAAGAAACCCAUAUUCUCAUAUAUUGGAUAUAAAAAUCUGCAUUGCAAAAUUUGAGAAAUACCUGGAUUGCAGAAAAUAAAUACAGCAGUAAAAAAUGGAGCUCCGCAACGAAAAAAACAGCAGAAAACAACAGCAGUUUCGUGUUUAAAAUAGCCCGAAAACCUUAGAGAAUAAACCCAGAACCAACUCUAAAGAAGACUCAUACUUUUCUAAAAGUUUGCACUCUAAAAUAUACUCACAAAGCUCACCAUUUCAGCUUACUAAAGGGUGCUUUAGUUGAUGAUUUUUUACUCCCAAAAUUGUAUUUUUAGGGUGUAAAAACUGUCCAACAAAUGUGUGAUGGAGUCCCCCUUCCAAUGAGUGAGAGGAGACCCCUUUAAGUAGGAAAAGCAAGCACCUUUGGACAGAUUUUGGUUCACCAAAAAUCUGUCUAAAAGACUUGCUUUUUCUCACCAAAAACUUGUCCAAGGCCUGUCCAAAUAAGAGAAAGGACAAUCCUUUUCACUAAAUUUAGACACAAUAAGACUAGUUAUACUCUUAGCAUGCUUCAAAUAGUAAAAGUAACCAACUAUGUACUCUACUCAAUCAUUCCUUUCUACACCCUCAACUUUAACAUUAGCAACUAAAGGAGUAAAGGACUAUAUUUCAUCACAUUGAAAUUGAUAAAAGCCAACAGAAGACUAGUAUAAUUGUAAACAAUUGAAUCUCUCCGACAAAGAACCAAACUAACUAGCUAAUUCGAACUUCAAUCAAAUUCAUCACAUGAAUCAAAAUCGAAUAGAGCUAAUACAAGUAUUAAGAGAAUCGUUAACAAGCACAACCAAACUGUAGUUAUGAAAGAAACUGAACAUAUGACCAACGCAAUUUAGAAAAUAAAAUAGAACCUAAAUUAAACUAAAGAUAAAUUUAACAUAAAGCAAAGAGGAGAGAAAAAUGAAAAAGGAUUAGGAUUUCAACCUGUAUUAUCUAUGAAAGUGAUUAUCAAACUAGCUAACAAAGAAGAAAUGAUUAACAGAACUUAAACCUAUACUAAAAUACUAAAAUCAAUCACAAAAUAUAGAAAAAAAAGUGAGAAAGGGAAUCGAUAUUACCCAACUUCAAACAUUCGGGCAGUAGCGGUAGCACGACAGAAUUGGCAGUUGCUCGGUUCGAGCAAGCUUCGAUUGUUGAUAUUCAUCGAAACCAAGAACUCCGGCGAAUCUGAGUCCUAUUUCAAUGAUAUCAACAACACAACCUUGCUCGAGGCCGGUUUGAAAGGAGAAACGAGAGGCAAGAGGCAGUGGUGGUUGAGGGGUGGCAGCGACGGCGGUGGAUCGGUAGUGGGGAGGUCGCCGGAUCUUCAUCGCCGGAUUUUCGAGGUGAAAUUGACAUCAAUAGGUAGGUCUUAAAGAACCCUAUCCGUUGAUAUUGGUAUUGUAGGGUAGUGGUGGCCGGAGUUUCACGAAUUUGGUCAAAAAGGUGGCGGCUAGGGUUUCCUAGAUCUAAAAUUCGUGGGUUUUGAGGGGUUUUUAAGGAAUUUAGCUUGGAGAUUCAGAAAGAGGGGGUUAAGGAGGGCAUAGGAUGAAAACAUGGGGCCUAUUGGACCACCACCGGUGGCGGCGCAUGGUGGUGGUAGUGGUGGAGCGGCGACGGCUUUAAGAGAGGGUGAGAGAGAGAAGAGAGUAGGGGGCGAUUU